UUUCGAAUUAUUCACAAUGGGCGAAAGCCUGAUGGUGCGACGCCGCGUGGGGGAUGAAGGUCUUCGGAUUGUAAACCCCUGUCACCGGGGAAGAAACGCUGAAUAUGAACAUUAUUCAGCCUGACUUAACCCGGAGAGGAAGCAGUGGCUAACUCUGUGCCAGCAGCCGCGGUAAUACAGAGACUGCAAGCGUUAUUCGGAUUCACUGGGCGUAAAGGGUGCGCAGGCGGCCGUGUGUGUUAGGCGUGAAAGCCCGAGGCUUAACCUCGGAAUUGCACCUAAAACUACAUGGCUAGAGUACUGGAGAGGGUAGCGGAAUUCACGGUGUAGCAGUGAAAUGCGUAGAUAUCGUGAGGAACACCAAUGGCGAAGGCAGCUACCUGGACAGUUACUGACGCUCAGGCACGAAAGCGUGGGGAGCAAAAG
RNAcentral lists this ribosomal RNA (426 nucleotides) under uncultured prokaryote. RNAcentral describes it as "bacterial SSU rRNA". It matches the Rfam family "Bacterial small subunit ribosomal RNA", at positions 355 to 774 of the family's 1533-position model. The record is from RNAcentral.